AAGGGCGAUGGUGAAGGAUGGAGGCAACGAUGAAUCUAACAGUACAUCUAAUGAAGAUAGGGGUAAAAUAAUCUUUUCACAUGAUCAAGAUUAUUGUAGAAGUAUUUUUAAAGUAGGAGAGCUUUACAAGAAAUUCUUAAGGUUAGAAGUUUUUUUUUUUUUUUGAGAAUUUAACUAGUUUUGGCGCAAAGCAUUUUUAUACUUACUUAAAUGC
Molecule: long non-coding RNA, 214 nt
Filed under: Musa acuminata (dwarf banana)
Lineage: Eukaryota; Viridiplantae; Streptophyta; Magnoliopsida; Zingiberales; Musaceae
Description: long non-coding RNA (MACU_LNC005643)
Source: RNAcentral